This is a long non-coding RNA of Felis catus (domestic cat), 898 nucleotides long. RefSeq lists it as uncharacterized. The transcript has 3 exons. The record is from RefSeq and is a predicted model, not a curated record. NCBI's taxonomy places the organism in Eukaryota, Metazoa, Chordata, Mammalia, Carnivora, Felidae.
GAACAGAGAUCCCCAGGGCUUGAACACAGAGAAUGCAUAGGCUGAGCUAAAGUUGAGAGGGGCUUCUCUCUAAUCUCAUCCUCACUGUGUACUCUACCUGUUGCCCCCUCAGGAGGCUCGGGUAUCUGGUGUCCCCACCCACAACCUCUCACAUAAAUUCUCACUCCUUCUUCCAGGGACAACAGCCAAUCUGGGCUCAGAUGCCAUUCAGGCAUUUUUCACCUCGGAUUUCCCCCACUGCCGUUGUGCCUGGGACCUCAAUGCUCCUCUUCCACUGGGCAGGGCCAGUUCUCCAGGUCCUGGUUUCAACCUGCUCCAAACCUUGAGGGCAGUGUCAGAGAAUGGCCACAUUACGAGAACAGAGGCGAAUCUGGACCUGGAGAAGUCUUGUCCUUUGGCCCUGCACCAGUUGGACCCAAAAUCCGAGAGGACUAGAACAGCUGUAAACGUUGACACAUGUUGCAAGAAGAAAUACUCUUGUAAGAAAUACUAUGGAGAGGGACACCUGAUGGCACGGGCUUGUGCUUUCUUGCCUCCGAUUGAGACAGCAGUGCAAUGGAGAAGGGACAGUAAGUACAUUCUUUAUGACAUUGGCCACAUUUUCCCGAAGCAGGCUGGAGCUCACUCUGUGCUUGCCCUUGCAAUAGCUGAUGUUUCUGAAUGACCAAGUUUUUCUGAAUUUAACUGCUACUGGUUUACAUUCAAUAUCUGCCAAGUAAUCUGCAAGGAUAUAAGCUGAUACAGGUUCCUAUACCUGGGCCUGUAGCCCUACCACACUAGUUCCUUUUUUUUAAAUUUUAUUUUUAAUUUAUUAAAAUUUACAUCCAAAUUAGUUAGCAUAUAGUGCAACAAUGAUUUCAGGAGUAGAUUGCUUAGUGCCCCUUACUCAUUUAGCCCA